RNAcentral lists this ribosomal RNA (503 nucleotides) under Hourangia nigropunctata. Its description in RNAcentral is "partial large subunit ribosomal RNA". It matches the Rfam family "Eukaryotic large subunit ribosomal RNA", at positions 84 to 581 of the family's 3401-position model. Lineage: Eukaryota; Fungi; Basidiomycota; Agaricomycetes; Boletales; Boletaceae. The record is from RNAcentral.
UAACUGCGAGUGAAGAGGGAAAAGCUCAAAUUUUGAAUCUGGCGGUCGUGAUGGCCGUCCGAGUUGUAAUCUAGAGAAGCGUCUUCUAGCGCUGAGCCGUGUACAAGUCUCCUGGAAGGGAGCGUCAUAGAGGGUGAGAAUCCCGUCUUUGACACGGAGAAUCAGUGCGAUGUGAUGCGCUCUCGACGAGUCGAGUUGUUUGGGAAUGCAGCUCAAAUAGGGUGGUAAAUUCCAUCUAAAGCUAAAUACUGGCGAGAGACCGAUAGCGAACAAGUACCGUGAGGGAAAGAUGAAAAGAACUUUGGAAAGAGAGUUAAACAGUACGUGAAAUUGCUGAAAGGGAAACGCUCGAGGUCAGUCGCGUCCGCCAGGGAUCAACCUUGCUUCUUCGCUCGGUGCAUUUCUUGGUCGGACGGGUCAGCAUCAGUUUCGAUCGUCGUAGAACGGUCGAGGGAACGUGGCACCUCUCGAGGUGUGUUAUAGCCCUCGAUCUUAUGCGUCGG